This is a non-coding RNA of Carica papaya (papaya), 689 nucleotides long. Lineage: Eukaryota; Viridiplantae; Streptophyta; Magnoliopsida; Brassicales; Caricaceae. The record is from RefSeq and is a predicted model, not a curated record.
AUUUGAUAUAACAUUUUUAUAUUACUAUUUUAAUUCCUCUCUUCUGCUACAUGAUUCUUAUUUGAUACUUUCAUGUUACUUUUCUAUUAUUGAUUUUCUGAUUGUUGAAAAUACUUCCAUGCAAAUGCAGGCUGCAAAAUCAGAUAAAAAUUCCAAACAAAAAAUGCCCGAGGGGAGCUGGAAGUGUGAGAAAUGUAACAACAUAAACUAUCCCUUCAGGACUAAGUGCAACAGACAGAAUUGUGGGGCUGAUAAACCAGCUGAAUCAAAGAAGUCCCCCUCACCAGCACCAGAGGAGAAUGAUCAGUGAGUACUAGACAUGUUUGAGGGUUGAGAAGGUCCACAGUUGUCAUCCAGCGUUGCUCAAUUAUGGGUGUUUGAAAGUCAGUCUUUUCGUCCUCAUGUUGCAGCGGUUGUCAAGUCACUCUACCUUCUUAUGAUCAGUGUCAAGUGUUGUAUUAUUGAAAUGGUAUUUUGGUCUUUAUGGAUCGUUUGAUGCAUUGUGUCAUCCAUCCUAAUCUGGAAAGAUUUUACAGGUUGGUUCUGGUUUCCUUUUAAGCUAGGUUUGUACUCUCUGGAUCAACUCAUCUAUUCUAGUGCGUACUGUUACCAUGAACUAUUAGUUUGUUACUAGAGGCAGAGAAAAACUUGGAGGCUGCAUAUUUCUGGUUUUCAUUUGGUUUUGGAAA